Molecule: ribosomal RNA, 481 nt
Filed under: uncultured bacterium
Lineage: Bacteria
Description: bacterial SSU rRNA
Rfam family: Bacterial small subunit ribosomal RNA
Source: RNAcentral
GAUGAACGCUGGCGGCGUGCCUAAUACAUGCAAGUCGAACGAGGUGCUUUUGUAGCAAUACGAGAGUAUCCUAGUGGCGAACGGGUGAGUAACGCGUUGGUGACCUACCCAAAGUGUGGGAUAACAGUCCGAAAGGAUUGCUAAUACCGCAUGUGGUCUUCGGAUUUAGAAACUGAUGACUAAAGGAGCAAUUCGCUUUGGGAGGGACCUGCGUCCCAUCAGCUAGUUGGUGAGGUAAUGGCUCACCAAGGCUACGACGGGUAGGGGACCUGAGAGGGUGACCCCCCACAAUGGAACUGAAACACGGUCCAUACACCUACGGGUGGCAGCAGUAGGGAAUAUUGCACAAUGGGCGAAAGCCUGAUGCAGCAACGCCGCGUGUGCGAUGAAGGCCUUCGGUCGUAAAGCACUUUUCUGGGAGAUGAGCAAGGACAGUAUCUCAGGAAUAAGUCUCGGCUAACUACGUGCCAGCAGCCGCGGU